AGGGUUUCCCCUCUCAGGGUGCACCUGCUGCCUCUUAAGUGAAGGUACAAAACAAGAGCAAAGGAGAGGAGGCCUCUUUCCAAGGUAGAGAGCAUGGCAGCUUUUAGGGGAAAACAAGCUAAGAAGAAUGUCUCUCAGAUAUUUGGACAGAUUAGCACAGCUAGUGGGCACAUAGCCACAGUUUUCUCCAUAAGGAGUCUCCGAACAUUAUCAGGCCUCUCUGUUGCUGGACUCCCAUUCUGUAGCUUCACUGCAGAAGACUCUGCCUGGCAAACGUGAGAAGACUGUGGUAUUAGAAAUGGACUCAAUCUAUUGCCGUCAACAUGGUUGGUUCUGUCCUGUUCCAUCU
Long non-coding RNA from Hirundo rustica (Barn swallow), 349 nucleotides. RefSeq lists it as uncharacterized. The record is from RefSeq and is a predicted model, not a curated record. The transcript is spliced from 3 exons. Lineage: Eukaryota; Metazoa; Chordata; Aves; Passeriformes; Hirundinidae.